UAGUAUGAAACAAAUUAAUUGUUUAUAAUUUCGACUUAUAAUAAGGUAAAUUACCCAUACUAA
RNAcentral lists this transfer RNA (63 nucleotides) under Nipponeurorthus fuscinervis. Its description in RNAcentral is "tRNA-Arg". The record is from RNAcentral. Lineage: Eukaryota; Metazoa; Arthropoda; Insecta; Neuroptera; Nevrorthidae.